CAGCCAGGAUGUUGGCUUAGAAGCAGCCAUCAUUUAAAGAAAGCGUAAUAGCUCACUGGUCGAGUCGGCCUGCGCGGAAGAUGUAACGGGGCUAAACCAUGCACCGAAGCUGCGGCAGCGACGCUUAUGCGUUGUUGGGUAGGGGAGCGUUCUGUAAGCCUGUGAAGGUGUGCUGUGAGGCAUGCUGGAGGUAUCAGAAGUGCGAAUGCUGACAUAAGUAACGAUAAAGCGGGUGAAAAGCCCGCUCGCCGGAAGACCAAGGGUUCCUGUCCAACGUUAAUCGGGGCAGGGUGAGUCGACCCCUAAGGCGAGGCCGAAAGGCGUAGUCGAUGGGAAACAGGUUAAUAUUCCUGUACUUGGUGUUACUGCGAAGGGGGGACGGAGAAGGCUAUGUUGGCCGGGCGACGGUUGUCCCGGUUUAAGCGUGUAGGCUGGUUUUCCAGGCAAAUCCGGAAAAUCAAGGCUGAGGCGUGAUGACGAGGCACUACGGUGCUGAAGCAACAAAUGCCCUGCUUCCAGGAAAAGCCUCUAAGCAUCAGGUAACAUCAAAUCGUACCCCAAACCGACACAGGUGGUCAGGUAGAGAAUACCAAGGCGCUUGAGAGAACUCGGGUGAAGGAACUAGGCAAAAUGGUGCCGUAACUUCGGGAGAAGGCACGCUGAUAUGUAGGUGAAGUCCCUCGCGGAUGGAGCUGAAAUCAGUCGAAGAUACCAGCUGGCUGCAACUGUUUAUUAAAAACACAGCACUGUGCAAACACGAAAGUGGACGUAUACGGUGUGACGCCUGCCCGGUGCCGGAAGGUUAAUUGAUGGGGUCAGCGCAAGCGAAGCUCUUGAUCGAAGCCCCGGUAAACGGCGGCCGUAACUAUAACGGUCCUAAGGUAGCGAAAUUCCUUGUCGGGUAAGUUCCGACCUGCACGAAUGGCGUAAUGAUGGCCAGGCUGUCUCCACCCGAGACUCAGUGAAAUUGAACUCGCUGUGAAGAUGCAGUGUACCCGCGGCAAGACGGAAAGACCCCGUGAACCUUUACUAUAGCUUGACACUGAACAUUGAGCCUUGAUGUGUAGGAUAGGUGGGAGGCUUAGAAGUGUGGACGCCAGUCUGCAUGGAGCCGACCUUGAAAUACCACCCUUUAAUGUUUGAUGUUCUAACGUUGACCCGUAAUCCGGGUUGCGGACAGUGUCUGGUGGGUAGUUUGACUGGGGCGGUCUCCUCCUAAAGAGUAACGGAGGAGCACGAAGGUUGGCUAAUCCUGGUCGGACAUCAGGAGGUUAGUGCAAUGGCAUAAGCCAGCUUGACUGCGAGCGUGACGGCGCGAGCAGGUGCGAAAGCAGGUCAUAGUGAUCCGGUGGUUCUGAAUGGAAGGGCCAUCGCUCAACGGAUAAAAGGUACUCCGGGGAUAACAGGCUGAUACCGCCCAAGAGUUCAUAUCGACGGCGGUGUUUGGCACCUCGAUGUCGGCUCAUCACAUCCUGGGGCUGAAGUAGGUCCCAAGGGUAUGGCUGUUCGCCAUUUAAAGUGGUACGCGAGCUGGGUUUAGAACGUCGUGAGACAGUUCGGUCCCUAUCUGCCGUGGGCGCUGGAGAACUGAGGGGGGCUGCUCCUAGUACGAGAGGACCGGAGUGGACGCAUCACUGGUGUUCGGGUUGUCAUGCCAAUGGCACUGCCCGGUAGCUAAAUGCGGAAGAGAUAAGUGCUGAAAGCAUCUAAGCACGAAACUUGCCCCGAGAUGAGUUCUCCCUGACUCCUUGAGAGUCCUGAAGGAACGUUGAAGACGACGACGUUGAUAGGCCGGGUGUGUAAGCGCAGCGAUGCGUUGAGCUAACCGGUACUAAUGAACCGUGAGGCUUAACCUUACAACGCCGAAGCUGUU
RNAcentral lists this ribosomal RNA (1873 nucleotides) under Escherichia coli. RNAcentral's name for it is "partial 23S ribosomal RNA". It matches the Rfam family "Bacterial large subunit ribosomal RNA", at positions 1090 to 2925 of the family's 2925-position model. The record is from RNAcentral. Lineage: Bacteria; Pseudomonadati; Pseudomonadota; Gammaproteobacteria; Enterobacterales; Enterobacteriaceae.